UACGUAGGGGGCAAGCGUUGUCCGGAUUUAUUUGGGCGUAAAGAGCGUGUAGGCGGCCAGAUAGGUCAGCUGUGAAAACUCGAGGCUCAACCUCGAGAUGUCGGCUGAAACCAUCUGGCUAGAGUCCGGAAGAGGAGAAUGGAAUUCCCGGUGUAGCGGUGAAAUGCGCAGAUAUCGGGAAGAACACCCGUGGCGAAGGCGGUUCUCUGGGACGGUACUGACGCUGAGACGCGAAAGCGUGGGGAGCGAACAGG
Molecule: ribosomal RNA, 254 nt
Filed under: uncultured bacterium
Lineage: Bacteria
Description: partial 16S ribosomal RNA
Rfam family: Bacterial small subunit ribosomal RNA
Source: RNAcentral